This 73-nucleotide transfer RNA is filed under the name Gordonia phage GodonK. RNAcentral describes it as "tRNA-Met". It matches the Rfam family "tRNA". Rfam says of the family: Transfer RNA (tRNA) molecules are approximately 80 nucleotides in length. Their secondary structure includes four short double-helical elements and three loops (D, anti-codon, and T loops). Further hydrogen bonds mediate the characteristic L-shaped molecular structure. tRNAs have two regions of fundamental functional importance: the anti-codon, which is responsible for specific mRNA codon recognition, and the 3' end, to which the tRNAs corresponding amino acid is attached (by aminoacyl-tRNA synthetases). tRNAs cope with the degeneracy of the genetic code in two manners: having more than one tRNA (with a specific anti-codon) for a particular amino acid; and 'wobble' base-pairing, i.e. permitting non-standard base-pairing at the 3rd anti-codon position. The record is from RNAcentral. Lineage: Duplodnaviria; Heunggongvirae; Uroviricota; Caudoviricetes. RNAcentral also lists the same sequence under 1 other name.
GCUAGUGUAGCUCAGUGGUAGAGCGCGCCUCUCAUAAGGGCGUCGUCGGUGGUUCGAUCCCACCCAUUAGCAC